UACGAAGGGGGCUAGCGUUGCUCGGAAUCACUGGGCGUAAAGCGCACGUAGGCGGUUUCCUAAGUCGGGGGUGAAAUCCUGGAGCUCAACUCCAGAACUGCCUUCGAUACUGGGAAUCUUGAGUCCGGAAGAGGUGAGUGGAACUGCGAGUGUAGAGGUGAAAUUCGUAGAUAUUCGCAAGAACACCAGUGGCGAAGGCGGCUCACUGGUCCGGUACUGACGCUGAGGUGCGAAAGCGUGGGGAGCAAACAGG
RNAcentral lists this ribosomal RNA (253 nucleotides) under uncultured bacterium. RNAcentral's name for it is "partial 16S ribosomal RNA". It matches the Rfam family "Bacterial small subunit ribosomal RNA", at positions 524 to 776 of the family's 1533-position model. The record is from RNAcentral.